GAUGAACGCUGGCGGCGUGCCUAAUACAUGCAAGUCGAGCGAACGGACGAGAAGCUUGCUUCUCUGAUGUUAGCGGCGGACGGGUGAGUAACACGUGGAUAACCUACCUAUAAGACUGGGAUAACUUCGGGAAACCGGAGCUAAUACCGGAUAAUAUUUUGAACCGCAUGGUUCAAAAGUGAAAGACGGUCUUGCUGUCACUUAUAGAUGGAUCCGCGCUGCAUUAGCUAGUUGGUAAGGUAACGGCUUACCAAGGCAACGAUGCAUAGCCGACCUGAGAGGGUGAUCGGCCACACUGGAACUGAGACACGGUCCAGACUCCUACGGGAGGCAGCAGUAGGGAAUCUUCCGCAAUGGGCGAAAGCCUGACGGAGCAACGCCGCGUGAGUGAUGAAGGUCUUCGGAUCGUAAAACUCUGUUAUUAGGGAAGAACAUAUGUGUAAGUAACUGUGCACAUCUUGACGGUACCUAAUCAGAAAGCCACGGCUAACUACGUGCCAGCAGCCGCGGUAAUACGUAGGUGGCAAGCGUUAUCCGGAAUUAUUGGGCGUAAAGCGCGCGUAGGCGGUUUUUUAAGUCUGAUGUGAAAGCCCACGGCUCAACCGUGGAGGGUCAUUGGAAACUGGAAAACUUGAGUGCAGAAGAGGAAAGUGGAAUUCCAUGUGUAGCGGUGAAAUGCGCAGAGAUAUGGAGGAACACCAGUGGCGAAGGCGACUUUCUGGUCUGUAACUGACGCUGAUGUGCGAAAGCGUGGGGAUCAAACAGGAUUAGAUACCCUGGUAGUCCACGCCGUAAACGAUGAGUGCUAAGUGUUAGGGGGUUUCCGCCCCUUAGUGCUGCAGCUAACGCAUUAAGCACUCCGCCUGGGGAGUACGACCGCAAGGUUGAAACUCAAAGGAAUUGACGGGGACCCGCACAAGCGGUGGAGCAUGUGGUUUAAUUCGAAGCAACGCGAAGAACCUUACCAAAUCUUGACAUCCUUUGACAACUCUAGAGAUAGAGCCUUCCCCUUCGGGGGACAAAGUGACAGGUGGUGCAUGGUUGUCGUCAGCUCGUGUCGUGAGAUGUUGGGUUAAGUCCCGCAACGAGCGCAACCCUUAAGCUUGGUUGCCAUCAUUAAGUUGGGCACUCUAAGUUGACUGCCGGUGACAAACCGGAGGAAGGUGGGGAUGACGUCAAAUCAUCAUGCCCCUUAUGAUUUGGGCUACACACGUGCUACAAUGGACAAUACAAAGGGCAGCGAAACCGCGAGGUCAAGCAAAUCCCAUAAAGUUGUUCUCAGUUCGGAUUGUAGUCUGCAACUCGACUACAUGAAGCUGGAAUCGCUAGUAAUCGUAGAUCAGCAUGCUACGGUGAAUACGUUCCCGGGUC
Molecule: ribosomal RNA, 1371 nt
Filed under: uncultured bacterium
Lineage: Bacteria
Description: bacterial SSU rRNA
Rfam family: Bacterial small subunit ribosomal RNA
Source: RNAcentral